GCCAUCGAUGAUCGCGCCGGUGCCCCCAACGGGGCUUAAUCGGGAAUGCGGUGCGGGAGCGUAGCUCCCAAAUCCGCGGCUGUCCCUGCAACUGUAAGCGGAUAGCGCGAUGCACAUUUUUCCUGCGCGUGCAGGAAAAGCCACUGGACCGCGCAUGAACGCGCAUCUGGGAAGGCGUGCAUCAAGCUGUGACCCGCGAGCCAGGAGACCUGCCGGCGCUCUGGUCGCUCU
Non-coding RNA from Novosphingobium subterraneum, 231 nucleotides. NCBI's taxonomy places the organism in Bacteria, Pseudomonadati, Pseudomonadota, Alphaproteobacteria, Sphingomonadales, Sphingomonadaceae. The record is from Rfam.